AUGAAACUAGAUACAAGCGAGCGGCGGACGGGUGAGUAACACGUUGGGUAACCUGCCCAAGAGACUGGGAUAACACCUGGAAACAGAUGCUAAUACCGGAUAACAACACUAGACGCAUGUCUAGAGUUUGAAAGAUGGUUCUGCUAUCACUCUUGGAUGGACCUGCGGUGCAUUAGCUAGUUGGUAAGGUAACGGCUUACCAAGGCAAUGAUGCAUAGCCGAGUUGAGAGACUGAUCGGCCACAUUGGGACUGAGACACGGCCCAAACUCCUACGGGAGGCAGCAGUAGGGAAUCUUCCACAAUGGACGAAAGUCUGAUGGAGCAACGCCGCGUGAGUGAAGAAGGGUUUCGGCUCGUAAAGCUCUGUUGGUAGUGAAGAAAGAUAGAGGUAGUAACUGGCCUUUAUUUGACGGUAAUUACUUAGAAAGUCACGGCUAACUACGUGCCAGCAGCCGCGGUAAUACGUAGGUGGCAAGCGUUGUCCGGAUUUAUUGGGCGUAAAGCGAGUGCAGGCGGUUCAAUAAGUCUGAUGUGAAAGCCUUCGGCUCAACCGGAGAAUUGCAUCAGAAACUGUUGAACUUGAGUGCAGAAGAGGAGAGUGGAACUCCAUGUGUAGCGGUGGAAUGCGUAGAUAUAUGGAAGAACACCAGUGGCGAAGGCGGCUCUCUGGUCUGCAACUGACGCUGAGGCUCGAAAGCAUGGGUAGCGAACAGGAUUAGAUACCCUGGUAGUCCAUGCCGUAAACGAUGAGUGCUAAGUGUUGGGAGGUUUCCGCCUCUCAGUGCUGCAGCUAACGCAUUAAGCACUCCGCCUGGGGAGUACGACCGCAAGGUUGAAACUCAAAGG
This 847-nucleotide ribosomal RNA is filed under the name uncultured bacterium. RNAcentral describes it as "bacterial SSU rRNA". It matches the Rfam family "Bacterial small subunit ribosomal RNA", at positions 71 to 907 of the family's 1533-position model. The record is from RNAcentral.